UUAAGACUAAGACGUUGAUAGGCUGGGUGUGUAAGCGUAGCGAUACGUUGAGCUAACCAGUACUAAUGAUCCGUGAGGCUUAACCUU
RNAcentral lists this ribosomal RNA (87 nucleotides) under Hafnia paralvei. RNAcentral's name for it is "partial 23S ribosomal RNA". It matches the Rfam family "Bacterial large subunit ribosomal RNA", at positions 2839 to 2925 of the family's 2925-position model. The record is from RNAcentral. Lineage: Bacteria; Pseudomonadati; Pseudomonadota; Gammaproteobacteria; Enterobacterales; Hafniaceae.